UACGUAGGGUGCAAGCGUUAUCCGGAAUUAUUGGGCGUAAAGAGCUCGUAGGCGGUUUGUCGCGUCUGCUGUGAAAACCCGAGGCUCAACCUCGGGCCUGCAGUGGGUACGGGCAGGCUAGAGUUCGGUAGGGGAGACUGGAAUUCCUGGUGUAGCGGUGAAAUGCGCAGAUAUCAGGAGGAACACCGGUGGCGAAGGCGGGUCUCUGGGCCGAUACUGACGCUGAGGAGCGAAAGCGUGGGGAGCGAACAGG
Molecule: ribosomal RNA, 253 nt
Filed under: uncultured bacterium
Lineage: Bacteria
Description: partial 16S ribosomal RNA
Rfam family: Bacterial small subunit ribosomal RNA
Source: RNAcentral